RNAcentral lists this ribosomal RNA (478 nucleotides) under uncultured bacterium. RNAcentral's name for it is "bacterial SSU rRNA". It matches the Rfam family "Bacterial small subunit ribosomal RNA", at positions 380 to 849 of the family's 1533-position model. The record is from RNAcentral.
AGCCUGAUCCAGCCAUGCCGCGUGUGUGAAGAAGGCCUUCGGGUUGUAAAGCACUUUUGUUCGGGAAGAAAAGCUACCGGUUAAUACCCGGGAGUCAUGACGGUACCGAAAGAAUAAGCACCGGCUAACUUCGUGCCAGCGGCCGCGGUAAUACGAAGGGUGCAAGCGUUACUCGGAAUUACUGGGCGUAAAGCGUGCGUAGGUGGUGCGUUAAGUCUGUCGUGAAAGCCCCGGGCUCAACCUGGGAAUGGCGAUGGAUACUGGCGCGCUAGAGUGCGGUAGAGGAGAGUGGAAUUCCCGGUGUAGCAGUGAAAUGCGUAGAGAUCGGGAGGAACAUCAGUUGCGAAGGCGGCUCUCUGGACCAACACUGACACUGAGGCACGAAAGCGUGGGGAGCAAACAGGAUUAGAUACCCUGGUAGUCCACGCCCUAAACGAUGCGAACUGGACGUUGGGAGCAACUAGGCUCUCAGUGUCGA